RNAcentral lists this ribosomal RNA (411 nucleotides) under uncultured bacterium. RNAcentral's name for it is "bacterial SSU rRNA". It matches the Rfam family "Bacterial small subunit ribosomal RNA", at positions 541 to 952 of the family's 1533-position model. The record is from RNAcentral.
UUAUCCGGAUUUACUGGGCGUAAAGCGUGCGCAGGCGGUUCUGUAAGAUAGAUGUGAAAUCCCCGGGCUCAACCUGGGAAUUGCAUAUAUGACUGCAGAACUUGAGUUUGUCAGAGGAGGGUGGAAUUCCACGUGUAGCAGUGAAAUGCGUAGAUAUGUGGAAGAACACCGAUGGCGAAGGCAGCCCUCUGGGACAUGACUGACGCUCAUGCACGAAAGCGUGGGGAGCAAACAGGAUUAGAUACCCUGGUAGUCCACGCCCUAAACGAUGUCUACUAGUUGUUGGGGACGAUAGUCCUUGGUAACGCAGCUAACGCGUGAAGUAGACCGCCUGGGGAGUACGGUCGCAAGAUUAAAACUCAAAGGAAUUGACGGGGACCCGCACAAGCGGUGGAUGAUGUGGAUUAAUUC